GUGGGGAAUUUUGGACAAUGGGCGAAAGCCUGAUCCAGCCAUGCCGCGUGCAGGAUGAAGGCCUUCGGGUUGUAAACUGCUUUUGUACGGAACGAAAAGACUCUGGUUAAUACCUGGGGUCCAUGACGGUACCGUAAGAAUAAGCACCGGCUAACUACGUGCCAGCAGCCGCGGUAAUACGUAGGGUGCAAGCGUUAAUCGGAAUUACUGGGCGUAAAGCGUGCGCAGGCGGUUUUGUAAGACAGGCGUGAAAUCCCCGGGAUCAACCUGGGAAUUGCGCUUGUGACUGCAAGGCUGGAGUGCGGCAGAGGGGGAUGGAAUUCCGCGUGUAGCAGUGAAAUGCGUAGAUAUGCGGAGGAACACCGAUGGCGAAGGCAAUCCCCUGGGCCUGCACUGACGCUCAUGCACGAAAGCGUGGGGAGCAAACAGGAUUAGAAACCCCAGUAGUCC
RNAcentral lists this ribosomal RNA (450 nucleotides) under uncultured bacterium. Its description in RNAcentral is "partial 16S ribosomal RNA". It matches the Rfam family "Bacterial small subunit ribosomal RNA", at positions 354 to 796 of the family's 1533-position model. The record is from RNAcentral.